GUUUCUUUCUCCUCCCUCGCUCUCUGCAGCAACCAACUCCGCCUUUUGCCGCACAUUGUCGGCUGCCGGCACGCCUCCGCAGUCAAUUUUCUCUAUUUAUCCGCGGUCUCCGGCACGGGGAAGACUAGAAUUCUUUAGAAGGUUAAAAGACUAGAAGACUAGAAUUCUAUUAAUUUUCAGAUCGUUCAUCGCUACCCAGACCCUAAAAGCCCUCGGUUCCACCUCUUCAAAGCUUCUCCCCAAGCUCUCUUCAGAAAAUUUAGCUGAUGCAGCUACGUGUUCUUAAACCUAAAAGAAGUUAGAAUUCAUCCCGAAAAUUGUUGCUGUGUUUUUUCUGAAGUUAAUCCAGUUUGAGUCUUCGAGUUUGUCAAUCCAGCAUUGUGGUGAAAGACAUGAAAGACCGACCUGAGUUACUGAUACUGUAUGCAACUCAAACUGGCAAUGCGCAAGAUGCUGCAGAGAGGUUAGGCCGAGAAGCUGAGCAUAGAGGUUGUGUUG
This 498-nucleotide unclassified non-coding RNA is filed under the name Hevea brasiliensis (rubber tree). The record is from RNAcentral. Lineage: Eukaryota; Viridiplantae; Streptophyta; Magnoliopsida; Malpighiales; Euphorbiaceae.